AAGUUUGAUGGUGGCUCAGAACGAACGCUGGCGGCAGGCCUAACACAUGCAAGUCGAGCGCGCCUUUCGGGGUGAGCGGCGGACGGGUUAGUAACGCGUGGGAAUAUGCCCUUUGGUACAGAAUAUCCUCUGGAAACGGAGAGUAAUACCGUAUGAGCCCUUCGGGGGAAAGAUUUAUCGCCAAAGGAUUAGCCCGCGUUAGAUUAGGUAGUUGGGGGGGUAAUGGCCUACCAAGCCUACGAUCUAUAGCUGGUUUUAGAGGAUGAUCAGCAACACUGGGACUGAGACACGGCCCAGACUCCUACGGGAGGCACCAGUGGGGAAUCUUGGACAAUGGGGGCAACCCUGAUCCAGCCAUGCCGCGUGAGUGAUGAAGGCCUUAGGGUCGUAAAGCUCUUUCACCUGUGAAGAUAAUGACGGUAGCAGGUAAAGAAACCCCGGCUAACUCCGUGCCAGCAGCCGCGGUAAUACGGAGGGGGGUAGCGUUGCUCGGAAUUACUGGGCGUAAAGCGCACGUAGGCGGAUCGGAAAGUUGGGGGUGAAAUCCCGGGGCUCAACCCCGGAACUGCCUCCAAAACUAUCGGUCUA
RNAcentral lists this ribosomal RNA (588 nucleotides) under uncultured Ruegeria sp. Its description in RNAcentral is "bacterial SSU rRNA". It matches the Rfam family "Bacterial small subunit ribosomal RNA", at positions 9 to 643 of the family's 1533-position model. The record is from RNAcentral. Lineage: Bacteria; Pseudomonadati; Pseudomonadota; Alphaproteobacteria; Rhodobacterales; Roseobacteraceae.